This is a long non-coding RNA of Culex pipiens pallens (northern house mosquito), 2729 nucleotides long. RefSeq lists it as uncharacterized. The record is from RefSeq and is a predicted model, not a curated record. Lineage: Eukaryota; Metazoa; Arthropoda; Insecta; Diptera; Culicidae. The transcript has 3 exons.
UCUGAACAUCAGAUGUUCAAAGCGUUUAACAAAUCACAAACACAGCCACACUCUCGAUCAUACGAUUUACUUUUUAUCUUAGUAUGCGUUAUGUUUGCUUUCCGCCACUGCCAAGCGAAAAAACUCUUCUUCAUCCUUUUUAAAAUAGCCGACUCUUCUUGUUGGACCAGCUUGACGUUUCACAUUUUUCCCGUUGUUAUUUUUCCUUCUCGCAUCGGUCGGUUGGGAUUUACGGAGUUCCGCGGGAUCACCGGAACUAUCGCCGUUUGCUAAGCCAAAAGUGGUUCCUGUUCUCUAUGUGUAUGGAUGUGCCGUGUGCCAAGUUGUGAGAUUUAAAGUGCUUGCUGUCAAACAAAAGGUACGCGUGAAGAAGAUUUAGAAUCUGAGCGGAACUGGCAAGCAGGUUCCGGGUAGGUCAUCUGUCCACAUUAUUCUGGAGUACAGGAACGAACCAGUAAAAGUGUGGUAUUUUGAAGUGAAGUCAAAAUUGUUGUCUCAACUCAACUGUGCAAGUGAAAAAAUAAUCUUUUGAAGAAAAAUUGCUUUUUUGUUCUUAUUCCGCAGCCGGAGGGGUGCAUUUUUAAGCUGCAGGUUGCACGGAUGACCACUUCACGUACACUUGGGUAUGAUGGUCAAGUUGUUGACGCACAUUACCGGCCGGAAGCACCAGAACCGAUGAAAACACGUCCCGGAAGAUUACCGCUCUGACAAACAAGUGUCAAUUGCAUUUUGCGCCGGCGAACCUGUUCCACCUGCAUGGAUAACAAAAUCAGUCGCCAUGUUGCGCCAUGAAAUGCAACCCGAGCUACGAGUUGGUGCGGAGGUGUUGAACGACACCAAGGCCGCGAGCGUCAUUCUAAUGUGCGAAGCGAUCGUGGAUCGCCCCGGCCAGGUGUUGCCAAACUUGCACAAAGUGUGCGAUAACAACAGCAACAAGGUCAAGGACCUGCAAGAGGUGCUGUUCGAAAAGCACUUUGACGAGCGCUCCGUUUCCCCUUCAAUCGCGACGAAGGUAACUCCUGCCAGUCCCGAGUGAUGCUGAUUCGCCCAAGCAGCUGACCCUCCACGACCGGAUGAACAUCAAGUCUGAAUCCUCCGUACGGCAAAAGUCUUCUUGAUCCGCUCAGCUGUCGGGAUCACCGCUCGCGCAACCCCUCGUCCCGAGCGCGGAUCGCGACGACGUAAUUUCAACAGCCGAUCGCAAACGGGACCGGCCGGAUCUCUUCCAUCGGAAUCCGGACUUUGGAGAACGAAAUUAAACCGAGUUGCAGAUCACCAUUGACCGUUUCAAGGAGGGACCGAAGGUGGGUUUGGAGUACUUGGUGGAGUUGAAUGCACCAGAUUGAAGCGUGCCGAGCUAUGCCACUGCGUGCUGUGCGAAAACAAGAUACGAUCUUGAUGUAUUCACGAUCACGAGCUGCAUCCCCGGGGCAUAUUCUUGCAUGAACUCGGAGCCAAACAUUUCUACGAGUGAAUCCAAAGGGAAUCCACCCGGCGUUGAUAACCACGUUAGUCCGUUGACCACUACUCGCGACGACUGGACCUGAAUCGUAUCGAGCAAGUUCGUCUUACCGACGUCGAAGCCCUUUUGCCGUCGGCAGUCUCCUCACCUCCACCGAGUGAAUGCAAGUCCAGUUCACAGCCGAUCUAUCACCGCUUUCGCAGUCCUUCACCGAGGCGUCGCUCUAGAAGCCUAUUCAGAAUUCGCCGUCCUGGCCGGCAACGAUUAUCGCUGCGCUCCAACUAACGAUUGCGGCACAGCCGUCGGAUCACCGCUCAUGCGAACCUUCCCGAGCGCGGUAUGCAUUGUCACACCUUCAACAGCUACGAUCGCGAACCUGGCCGAACGGAUCCAUGCUGGGGUCCGGGUUUUGCCUAAAAGCAUGGUUACGACGAUUGACCCAGACGAACUACGAGCACAUGAAGUAGUGUGUGCGCGUGCGUGUGUGUUGCUGGUCCGUCGAUGCAAACUCCAGCGCCCUCAGGAGGUUCAAGUCGUCGCCGAUUCGGGGAACCGGCGACAAUACCGAAGCUAGGGUCCUCGAGGAAAUCACCGGCUCAAAGACACGAAAAUCGCAGCCAACUUGAUCGACUGCAAGCGCAAGCUGAUCCUGCGUGAUCUGAAACUGCCGCCAACAGGCUCGUGACUCGUGGUGUCGUAGGGAUGACCAAACAACUGAGAAACAUUGUAAAAGGUUGAGUAACUUUUUAUAAAAUUAAAAGAAAAUUGAUGUAUUAAUUUAUAACGAAUAAAAAAAGGUGCUGUGUGUUUUCGAUAACUUAUUUUCUCUCUUAGGAGAAAUAUUUAUCGAAACAGCCAAUUUGUUCUGUAAAAUCAAAAAAUAAACUAAUUCGAUCGUGAUUUUAUGUUAAUUUUGAUUGAUUUAGUUUGAAUUUUGGUUUAACGGCAACAGAAAUGGUCUGUUUUGAUAAAUAUUCUCUGGUGAUAUUUGGUUUGCGUCCUGGGGUAUCGAAUAAAUCCACCUGGUGGCAAAAAGCGGAACUAAUCUGGAAGCUGCAACGAACAGUGGCGCCGCCAGUGGUGAAUAGGGGAAACAUCAAAAAAUUGCGUGCGAUGGCACGCACACAUUGAAACGAGUUGUCAAAUUGCCAAAAAGCAUUUUGAACAUCGGAUGGUCAACGCGCUUUGAACAUCGAAUGCGCAUGAUCGUUUAUGACCAUCCAAUGUUCAAGAAUUUGGUGCCAAUGGUCAGAAAAUUCGCAUUGGC